CAGCCUCAGGACCACCAUGGCCUGGACCCUUCUCCUCCUGGGCCUCCUCGCUCACUGCACAGGCUCCGUGGCCUCCUAUGAUGUGACUCAGCAGUCCUCAAUGUCAGUGACCUUGGGACAGACGGCCAGGAUCCCCUGUGUGGGAGACAACAUUAGUUGGAAAACUCUACACUGGUACCAGCAGAAGCCAGGCACGUCCCCCAGGCUGGUCAUCCAUAACAAUAACGAUCGGCCCUCGGGGAUCCCUGACCGAUUCUCAGGCUCCACCUCAGGGAACACGGCCACCCUGACCAUCAGCGGGGCCCAGGAUGGAGAUGAGGCCGACUAUUACUGUCAGGUGUGGGACAGCAGUGACAUUGCUCACAGUGACACAGGCAGACGGGGAAACCAGCUCCCUCGGCAGUACUGGAGCUCUUGA
Tupaia belangeri chinensis (Chinese tree shrew) is the source of this 418-nucleotide non-coding RNA. The record is from the annotation of a RefSeq genome assembly. Lineage: Eukaryota; Metazoa; Chordata; Mammalia; Scandentia; Tupaiidae.